Molecule: long non-coding RNA, 1156 nt
Organism: Chenopodium quinoa (quinoa)
Lineage: Eukaryota; Viridiplantae; Streptophyta; Magnoliopsida; Caryophyllales; Amaranthaceae
Exons: 5
Source: RefSeq, a predicted model, not a curated record
CAUAGUUUAAGGUGAUAAGUUAUUGUUUGAAGAUGAAUUUUUAUUUUUAUUGUAGAAGUAUAUGAGAUAGAAGAUAGCGGUGUAUGGUGUUUUUAUAUUAAUUGUUUGAGAGUAUGGGGCCUAACUAUUGUAGCGGGAAGACUGAACAGAGAUGCAUAAAAAUAAUUGAGGGAUCUGAAAAGGAAAGUGUAAAAUAUAAUUUAGGAGAAAGAGUUUUCAUAUGUUCUUUGAUUCUUUGUCGACUAUUGAUUAUAAUUUAUUAAUUUGUCAAGUUCGAGAAUCAUUUUUAAGUAUUCAAUUACUUUUACUUUUGUAGCACUUCUCUUUGGAGGGAGCUGCUCUCUUGUUUUUGCUGAAGAAGUUUCAAAUGGAAAAGCCUCUAAAACUAAUGCAGGAGAGUCAGCUAAUGUUGGAUUACAAAGACUUGAGGAUGGUUCAGUUAUAUCAAACGAACAUACGUCUAAGUGGCGAAUAUUCACAGAUAAUGGGAGAGAAUAUUUUCUGCAAGGGAGAAUGAUUGAAGCUGAGAAGUUAUUUUCAUCUGCCUUGGAAGAAGCUAAAAAAGGUUUUGGUGAGCGGGAUCCACAUGUUGCAUCUGCAUGUAACAAUCUGGCAGAGCUGUACAGGGUCCAGAAAUCAUAUGAUAAAGCAGAGCCCUUGUAUAUAGAUUCUAUUAGUAUACUUGAGGAAGCAUUUGGUCCAGAUGAUGUGCGAUUUAUAUAAAGUCAAAAAAUCAACUUGGGGAGGCUGAGAACAUUCAAAGAAAGAUUUUGCACAUCAUGGAGUUGACCAAGGAAUUCUAAAUUUGAUAAUUGCUCAAUAAGGAGUGAUCAACGAAUCACUUUUGCUGGAAAUUCAGAUGGUUUGUAGCUAUCGCAACCUGUCACAGUUGCACCAUUGCGGUAAGCUCAAAGUCUUUUACGGUGUGAUGCUGUGGCUGCAAUUAUUACCCUACUAUAUAAUUGACUUGGUGUGACAAAAAUCAGCAAGGGUUCCAGUGAGAAGCUAGAUUAGUAGAUUAGGGUUUUUUUUAGUUUAGUUUUCUUAAUUCAAGCUAUCUCUGAGAAUUACUAUUCAGAUAUUAUGCAUAUGAGACUUUAAAAUUGUGUCCUAAAGUUUCUAAGCAUUAUUUUUUAUUCAUGUCAUUUUUUUAUAU